Molecule: long non-coding RNA, 418 nt
Filed under: Monodelphis domestica (gray short-tailed opossum)
Lineage: Eukaryota; Metazoa; Chordata; Mammalia; Didelphimorphia; Didelphidae
Description: lncRNA (ENSMODG00000036144.2)
Source: RNAcentral
AGGCACUGUGCUGGUAUACAAAGGCAAAAUCAUAAUGUACUUAAAAGAGAAUACUACAUCAAAUGUCUGGAAAGACCAAUCCAGGAAACAUUCCUCCCUGAAGUAGUCAGGGCAGUAACCUGACAAGGGCAAGAGACUCUGAUCGAUUUCCUGAAUGGUAUCCUCUUUCUUCAUGUGCUGAAAGGAUUAAGGGCGGCCAAACAACUUCUAAUCUGGAAAGCUGUCCUUCCUUCCAUUUGCCACUACUAAAGACUAGAUCAGUGGCAAGAAAUGAGUGUAUCUAGAUGGGACCAAUGAGAUGGGACCAGUAGGUGACAACAUGUGAGCAAAGGUGGCUUCGGGGAUUGUGACCCCUUGUGGUAGAGACAAGUGACAGUUACAUGGAUUCUGCAAAGGCAUUGACUUUUGAAGAAAGGGG